AGGGGGAGGGAAGCUGGUCUUUCAAACUGCUUGUAACCCAAGGAAGAAAAUCAUCAGCCUAUAUGCCUUUCACGGCAUUUGAUGACAAAAUGGUUUGUGGCUUAGCCAUUGUUUGAGGGCCAUUCCUCAAAUUCCUUGUUUACUGUCAGCAGGAGAGAAAGAAAAAAUGCUCAUUUUCAGCUGCAAGGAUGAGUAGAUCAGAAGUGAAAUCCAACCCCCAAAUACCUCCAGCUCCUGAAGGACUGGGAGCUAACAGGCUGGGAUGAUGCUGAAAGAAAACAAGAAAAUUGACAGUCCUAAGUGUGCUUAAACCAACUGCUGGCUGUGGAAGAAGAACAAGCAAAAAUUGUCAAUUUGUCCUUUGUUCAUUUGUUCAUUGAAGAACAAGUUUAUUUUUUUUUUAAGAAAAAAAAAAAAAAAGGAGAGAGAGAACGAGAAAGAUGUGCUUAUGCUAUGACUCACACUGCUGAAUUUCCCAGGUGAUCCAUUUCCUCCUGUUGUUUCCAUAAAUGCUGCCCUACCAGGUACUGCCACUGCCUGAAUUUCUCCUGGGUUUGCUGUUCAGGAGAGGGUUGGUUUGGUGCUCAGGCAGCGUGUUUUCUUUCUCUCUGUUGUUAAAAAUAAUAGCCUGGCUCCUACGACUAUUAUUUGAAUUAUAGCAGCACCUGGAGUCAUCAGCCAAGAUUGCAGCCCCCUUGAAGGAGGCAACAGCCAAAAAAAUAGCAAGGUGGCUCCCCGGCGAGCUCCCAGUCCC
This is a long non-coding RNA of Anas platyrhynchos (mallard), 754 nucleotides long. RefSeq lists it as uncharacterized. NCBI's taxonomy places the organism in Eukaryota, Metazoa, Chordata, Aves, Anseriformes, Anatidae. The record is from RefSeq and is a predicted model, not a curated record.